RNAcentral lists this ribosomal RNA (293 nucleotides) under Bathyspinula calcar. Its description in RNAcentral is "partial 16S ribosomal RNA". Lineage: Eukaryota; Metazoa; Mollusca; Bivalvia; Nuculanida sp.; Bathyspinulidae. The record is from RNAcentral.
UAGUGUAAUUUAUAGCCUAUUAAUUGUAGGCCAAUGAAUGGAUUGACGGGCUGAUAUUGUCUCAGUUAUGUGUUGUAGAAGUUAACUUUUAGGUGAAGAGGCCUAAAUGUGUUGAAGGGACGAAAAGACCCUGUUAAACUUUAAUCGUUUUACAUUAUAUUAAUGUGUUUAAAUUGUUAGUGAUUUUAGUUGGGGCAACUGGGAAGAAUAAAAACUUUUUAUAACUUGUUAAUAAGAUGUGUUGAUGAUUUGAUCCAGACUUACUAUUCUGAAUAUAGAAUAAGUUACUGGAG